Long non-coding RNA from Boleophthalmus pectinirostris (great blue-spotted mudskipper), 266 nucleotides. RefSeq lists it as uncharacterized. The record is from RefSeq and is a predicted model, not a curated record. The transcript is spliced from 2 exons. NCBI's taxonomy places the organism in Eukaryota, Metazoa, Chordata, Actinopteri, Gobiiformes, Gobiidae.
GUUGAUUCCAAGCGUGAACCUGAGGGGCCGUGACGGUGUCUGUCCAUGUUCAUGCAAACACAUGGUCUUGGGAGCUCAGACCUGACUGCAUACACCAGAGCGUUCGAGAGGUUGUACCCGGCUCUGUGCUACACCAGGCGUGACAACUACAUAUAAACACCAAUUUUAUUAUUAUUAUAAUUUAAAUAAUACAGAUUAUUAUAUUUAAUUAUUUUAUUGAUAUUGAAUGAUAUUUGUUUGCUGAAAAUAAAAAAAUGUUAAAAGGA